UUAAUUUUUUAACAUAAUUACAGAAUUUUUAAUGGGAGGAAAAUUGAGGGGAGGGUUUUAGGAUUUGUGUGACAGUUCAACAGCGCAAUCUCCGUAAAGGGCAGUCAGACGGCUGGGGGCAAAACAAUUCGUAGAACUGGUUCUCGUAAGAGCUCGCAAGGGGGUGUCAAAUACGGACAUUGUGCCCCCCCCCCCCCCGGAAUAUAGCGUUUACUGAUGAUGUUGGUGUCUUUGAAGUGUUUCUGCUGCCUCUCCAGCUUCUAGACAAGAUCAAUCUCUGACAGUGCAACAACCUGUCCAGCAUUUGACAAAGAUGCGAAGUGAACGAGAGCCAGACUUCGUUGGGAAAUGUCCGGACCGCAGCUCUUCACGUGAGACACACCCAGAUUAGGGAUAACAUCUCCCAGCUGUUCAGACCAGAGAUGGAUCAAGAGCUCAACCUCUGCCACUAUUUCGGCAGAGAACAGACAGUGGACUUUACUCCAGGGAUGUAUGAGGAUACAGGCGAGACUGGCAACUACAGACAGCUCCAGGCUGGACCUGUCUGUCCCCUCUCUCCUCUCUCCUCAUCUAUCUGACCCCACCACAGCUUGUAGCCAACGACGACGAUGACACCUGUCAAGUCGUGUCCUGUUGUUUUCAUAAGUAGGGAUCGAACAGAACAUAUGUCAGCUCGUUGGUGGAAUCAUCCCCGGAAUUGGUUUCAUUUGCAUUUAAAAUUAUUCACAGAAAUCUCGGUAGGUUUUUUCCCCCCUGAAAUGGAGGAUCUAUGUUCUCUUGACUCUUCAGAAACCCAAUAAUCACCCUUUUGUCUGAACCAAGCAAUUUACCGUUGUAAUGAACAAAAGUGUAGGUCUAGUUUCAGAUGUGCCGUGGACAGUGAAUUUGGUGUUGUUCUGAAAGCCUCGUUCCCAACCUUCAACAAUGGAGUAAAACAAAGUAGAUCAAAGAUCUUGUGUAUCAAAGAUCUUGUGUAUCAAAGAUCUUGUGUAUCAAAGAUCUUGUCGCCUCCUAAUGUCGCGUGUCAGACUUUACUGCUACAGAGUUGGUUUGUUCUAAUAUAUUAUACCAGACCUUGACUGAAAACCUACAGGACGGUAGAUCUCCAGGAAGAGGGUUGGACUGUAAACCUACAGGACAGUAGAUCUCCAGGAAGAGGGUUGGACUGAAAACCUACAGGACAGUAGAUCUCCAGGAAGAGGGUUGGACUGUAAACCUACAGGACAGUAGAUCUCCAGGAAGAGGGUUGGUCUGAAAACCUACAGGACAGUAGAUCUCCAGGAAGAGGGUUGGACUGAAAACCUACAGGACAGUAGAUCUCCAGGAAGAGGGUUGGUCUGAAAACCUACAGGACAGUAGAUCUCCAGGAAGAGGGUUGGACUGAAAACCUACAGGACAGUAGAUCUCCAGGAAGAGGGUUGGACUGAUAACCUACAGGACGGUAGAUCUCCAGGAAGAGGGCUGGGCUGCCCUGUAUCUUAUCAUACCAGAUUCUGAGCCUCUCGUCUGGCUCUUUGAGAUUAGAUUAGUAGUCCCUCCACUCUUAUGAUUGUUGAUCUGUGAUGGAAAUAUGUUUUUAUUGCUUUACCUCAUUGCCAUGUUUUGCACCAGGACAGUUGGUGCAUUUCUCUAUGAUAUUAACCAGUGUAAAGACAACAACAGUACACUAACCCAGGGCCUAGAGUUCGAGGCAAAUGAAUAUCGUCGUUUCCCUUAGAUGAAGUAGGGACCAUAUAGCCCAACAUAACAUACUGUACCAAAAGUGAAAAGACGCAAUUCAUUCUUACACCAUAUUGAUUCAUUCGUACACCAUAUUGAUUCAUUCUUACAUACACCAUAUUGAUUCAUUUGUACACCAUAUUGAUUCAUUCACUCUUACACCAUAUUGAUUCAUUCACUCUUACACCAUAUUGAUUCAUUCACUCUUACACCAUAUUGAUUCAUUCAUUCUUACACCAUAUUGAUUCAUUCUUACAUACACCAUAUUGAUUCAUUCACUCUUACACCAUAUUGAUUCAUUCACUCUUACACCAUAUUGAUUCAUUCUUAC
Long non-coding RNA from Oncorhynchus masou masou (cherry salmon), 2050 nucleotides. RefSeq lists it as uncharacterized. NCBI's taxonomy places the organism in Eukaryota, Metazoa, Chordata, Actinopteri, Salmoniformes, Salmonidae. The record is from RefSeq and is a predicted model, not a curated record. The transcript has 3 exons.